RNAcentral lists this ribosomal RNA (442 nucleotides) under Obesumbacterium proteus. Its description in RNAcentral is "bacterial SSU rRNA". It matches the Rfam family "Bacterial small subunit ribosomal RNA", at positions 154 to 591 of the family's 1533-position model. Lineage: Bacteria; Pseudomonadati; Pseudomonadota; Gammaproteobacteria; Enterobacterales; Hafniaceae. The record is from RNAcentral.
AAACGGUAGCUAAUACCGCAUGACGUCUUCGGACCAAAGUGGGGGACCUUCGGGCCUCACGCCAUCAGAUGUGCCCAGAUGGGAUUAGCUAGUAGGUGGGGUAAUGGCUCACCUAGGCGACGAUCUCUAGCUGGUCUGAGAGGAUGACCAGCCACACUGGAACUGAGACACGGUCCAGACUCCUACGGGAGGCAGCAGUGGGGAAUAUUGCACAAUGGGCGCAAGCCUGAUGCAGCCAUGCCGCGUGUAUGAAGAAGGCCUUCGGGUUGUAAAGUACUUUCAGCGAGGAGGAAGGCAUUGUGGUUAAUAACCACAGUGAUUGACGUUACUCGCAGAAGAAGCACCGGCUAACUCCGUGCCAGCAGCCGCGGUAAUACGGAGGGUGCAAGCGUUAAUCGGAAUUACUGGGCGUAAAGCGCACGCAGGCGGUUGAUUAAGUCAG